RNAcentral lists this ribosomal RNA (232 nucleotides) under uncultured bacterium. RNAcentral describes it as "partial 16S ribosomal RNA". It matches the Rfam family "Bacterial small subunit ribosomal RNA", at positions 118 to 347 of the family's 1533-position model. The record is from RNAcentral.
UGAGAAACCUGUCCCGGUCUCUGGAAUAACAGUCGGAAACGACUGCUAAUACCGGAUGCCGUCGGAGCAUCGCAUGGCGCGCUGACGAAAGGGCUACCGGAUCGGGAGGGUCUCGCGGCCUAUCAGCUUGUUGGUGAGGUAACGGCUCACCAAGGCAUCGACGGGUAGCUGGUCUGAGAGGGCGACCGGCCACACUGGGACUGAGAUACGGCCCAGACUCCUACGGGAGCAG